This 584-nucleotide ribosomal RNA is filed under the name Bacillus subtilis. RNAcentral describes it as "bacterial SSU rRNA". It matches the Rfam family "Bacterial small subunit ribosomal RNA", at positions 555 to 1140 of the family's 1533-position model. The record is from RNAcentral. Lineage: Bacteria; Bacillati; Bacillota; Bacilli; Caryophanales; Bacillaceae.
UGGGCGUAAGGGCUCGCAGGCGGUUUCUUAAGUCUGAUGUGAAAGCCCCCGGCUCAACCGGGGAGGGUCAUUGGAAACUGGGGAACUUGAGUGCAGAAGAGGAGAGUGGAAUUCCACGUGUAGCGGUGAAAUGCGUAGAGAUGUGGAGGAACACCAGUGGCGAAGGCGACUCUCUGGUCUGUAACUGACGCUGAGGAGCGAAAGCGUGGGGAGCGAACAGGAUUAGAUACCCUGGUAGUCCACGCCGUAAACGAUGAGUGCUAAGUGUUAGGGGGUUUCCGCCCCUUAGUGCUGCAGCUAACGCAUUAAGCACUCCGCCUGGGGAGUACGGUCGCAAGACUGAAACUCAAAGGAAUUGACGGGGGCCCGCACAAGCGGUGGAGCAUGUGGUUUAAUUCGAAGCAACGCGAAGAACCUUACCAGGUCUUGACAUCCUCUGACAAUCCUAGAGAUAGGACGUCCCCUUCGGGGGCAGAGUGACAGGUGGUGCAUGGUUGUCGUCAGCUCGUGUCGUGAGAUGUUGGGUUAAGUCCCGCAACGAGCGCAACCCUUGAUCUUAGUUGCCAGCAUUCAGUUGGGCACUC